CCUACGGGGGGCAGCAGUGGGGAAUAUUGCACAAUGGGGGAAACCCUGAUGCAGCAACGCCGCGUGAAGGAAGACGGUUUUCGGAUUGUAAACUUCUGUUCUUAGUGAAGAAUAAUGACGGUAGCUAAGGAGCAAGCCACGGCUAACUACGUGCCAGCAGCCGCGGUAAUACGUAGGUGGCAAGCGUUGUCCGGAAUUACUGGGUGUAAAGGGAGCGCAGGCGGGAAGCCAAGUCAGCUGUGAAAACUACGGGCUUAACUUGUAGACUGCAGUUGAAACUGGCAAACUGGAGUGUGUGAGAGGAUAGUGGAAUUCCAGGUGUAGGAGUGAAAUCCGUAGAUAUCUGGAGGAACAUCAGUGGCGAAGGCGACUAUCUGGCACAUAACUGACGCUGAGGAGCGAAAGCGUGGGUAGCAAACAGGAUUAGAUACCCCAGUAGUC
This 441-nucleotide ribosomal RNA is filed under the name uncultured bacterium. Its description in RNAcentral is "partial 16S ribosomal RNA". It matches the Rfam family "Bacterial small subunit ribosomal RNA", at positions 338 to 795 of the family's 1533-position model. The record is from RNAcentral.